Molecule: non-coding RNA, 78 nt
Filed under: human gut metagenome
Description: TPP riboswitch (THI element)
Rfam family: TPP riboswitch aptamer (THI element)
About the family: Vitamin B(1) in its active form thiamin pyrophosphate (TPP) is an essential coenzyme that is synthesised by coupling of pyrimidine and thiazole moieties in bacteria. The previously detected thiamin-regulatory element, thi box was extended, resulting in a new, highly conserved RNA secondary structure, the THI element, which is widely distributed in eubacteria and also occurs in some archaea.
Source: RNAcentral
UUUUAGGGGUGCUUGCAAAAGUGCAGGCUGAGAUUAUACCCUCUGAACCUGAUCCGGUUAAUACCGGCGUAGUGAAAA